GCAGCUUUCAAAGUUCGUUUCGAGAAAAAAAAAAGUUUGUUUCGUUGCAAACAUGUCUGGCUUUUACAAAACAUUACUUGUGUCUCUGUACAGAAAAGAAAAAAUAAGAGAAAAAGAGAAGACGAAACCAAAGGCUUGAGGAUUUUUAUGACCAAAUAUCUAAAACAAACUGAGGAUGAGUCCGGAACGGAAUUGUAGAGGGGUGUUGCACAUUCAGAGCCAGAUUUAUUGAUGGAUUGCAAACAUUGGGAGUUGCCAACGCCAUUGAGAAUCACCAUGAGGCAAUAAAACCAAUUUUUGUUGGAGGACUUAAAAUGGUGAGCCACCAGGACAUGCAAAAACUCUUCAGCGUGCAACUCUCUCUGCCAGGGAGUAACAAGAGGAGGUUGGAGAACCAGACGACCAUCUUCUGGAAUGAUUGGCUGUUAGAGGUGGAUGAGGGAACGAGGCCAGUGACACUGGGGCAAAUAUUAACCUUUGCUUCAGGCAUGGACAACAUCCCACCGCUGGGCUUCAACACCUCUCCGACCAUUGAGUUUUUGCACAACGAGGACGGGAACAACCGCAUCUUCCCAGAGGCAAAUACUUGUGGGGAGGUCCUGCGGCUGCCUAUUCACCCUACCUAUGCACUCUUUGUACAGUAUAUGGAGUCUGGAAUAUUGCAGUCCCCUACAUUUGGAUUAAUCUAAUAAGAAAAUUUGCCAUUUAUACAGUUUGGUUGU
This is a long non-coding RNA of Fundulus heteroclitus (mummichog), 722 nucleotides long. RefSeq lists it as uncharacterized. Lineage: Eukaryota; Metazoa; Chordata; Actinopteri; Cyprinodontiformes; Fundulidae. The transcript is spliced from 3 exons. The record is from RefSeq and is a predicted model, not a curated record.